This 402-nucleotide ribosomal RNA is filed under the name uncultured bacterium. RNAcentral describes it as "partial 16S ribosomal RNA". It matches the Rfam family "Archaeal small subunit ribosomal RNA", at positions 473 to 873 of the family's 1478-position model. The record is from RNAcentral.
ACACCGGCAGCUCAAGUGGUAGCCGCUUUUAUUGGGCCUAAAGCGUCCGUAGCCGGUCUGAUAAGUCUCUGGUGAAAUCCCACAGCUUAACUGUGGGAAUUGCUGGAGAUACUAUCAUGACUCGAGGUCGGGAGAGGCUGGAGGUACUCCCAGGGUAGGGGUGAAAUCCUGUAAUCCUGGGAGGACCACCUGUGGCGAAGGCGUCCAGCUGGAACGAACCUGACGGUGAGGGACGAAAGCCAGGGGCGCGAACCGGAUUAGAUACCCGGGUAGUCCUGGCCGUAAACGAUGUGGACUUGGUGUUGGGAUGGCUUCGAGCUGCCCCAGUGCCGAAGGGAAGCUGUUAAGUCCACCGCCUGGGAAGUACGGUCGCAAGACUGAAACUUAAAGGAAUUGGCGGGG